This 505-nucleotide ribosomal RNA is filed under the name uncultured eukaryote. RNAcentral describes it as "bacterial SSU rRNA". The stretch from base 73 to 505 matches the Rfam family "Eukaryotic small subunit ribosomal RNA", at positions 626 to 1044 of the family's 1831-position model. The record is from RNAcentral.
UGGAACUUUAUUAUAUUGGUUUGUCUUUCGAUGAACUAUAUAAUGGGUUUCUUCCUACUAGAGUUCGAUUCUGUUCUUAACUGAAUGGAGUAGCUAUCUCUCGGGGUAGUCAGUUGGUUAUUAUGUCUCCACUAAUAAGCAGAGAGGAGUAAAAUCUUCAAAGUAAGUUAUGUGGAUCAAGGUAUAGUGAUUAAUUGGAGUUCUAGUUCAUUUACUUUGAGAAAAUUAGAGUGUUUAAAGCAGCCUCUUGGGGCACUGAAUACAUUAGCAUGGGAUAAUAGAAUAGGAUUUGAUAACCUAUUUGUUGGUUUGAGUUAAUCAAAUAAUGAUUAAUAGGGACAGUUGGGGGCAUUCAUAUUAAAUGGUUAGCGGUGAAAUGUGUGGACCCAUUUAAGAUGAACUAAAGCGAAAGCAUUUGCCAAGGAUGUUUUCAUUAAUCAAGAACGAAAGUUAAGGGAUCGAAGACGAUUAGAUACCGUCGUAGUCUUAACUAUAAACUAUGCCG